AGGCCCGUAGCACAACUGGCUAGUGCGCCGGUCUCCAAAACCGGAGGUUGAAGGUUCGAGUCCUUCCGGGCCUGCAA
RNAcentral lists this transfer RNA (77 nucleotides) under Elusimicrobia bacterium CG_4_10_14_3_um_filter_49_12_50_7. Its description in RNAcentral is "tRNA-Trp". It matches the Rfam family "tRNA". Rfam says of the family: Transfer RNA (tRNA) molecules are approximately 80 nucleotides in length. Their secondary structure includes four short double-helical elements and three loops (D, anti-codon, and T loops). RNAcentral also lists the same sequence under 1 other name. Lineage: Bacteria; Pseudomonadati; Elusimicrobiota. The record is from RNAcentral.